Molecule: ribosomal RNA, 857 nt
Filed under: Evernia prunastri
Lineage: Eukaryota; Fungi; Ascomycota; Lecanoromycetes; Lecanorales; Parmeliaceae
Description: SSU rRNA
Rfam family: Bacterial small subunit ribosomal RNA
Source: RNAcentral
GGAGGAAUGUAUAGCAAUAGCUACUUGCAUCAUUAUAAAGGUGAUGCAAGAUCGACUAUGUCGAAUAAAAUUCUAGGUAGAAUUAUGAUAAUGACAUUGUCUGCCUAUGUGUCUUGACCAAAUUACGUGCCAGCAGUCGCGGUAAUACGUAGAAGACUAGUGUUAUUCAUGUUUAAUCGGUUUAAAGGGUACCUAGACGGUAAAUCAAGCCUAAAAAAAAAUAAUUGAAGGGACUAAUUUGCUAGAGUUACUUAUGAGGGGGUAUUAAAGUACUGCUGGUGUAGAGAUGAAAUUCUGUCAUACCUCUUUUCAAUAGAAAAACAAUGGCACAGGUAUAGGCGAAAGCAUCCCCUUAUGUGAUAACUGACGUUGAGGGACGAAGGCUUUGUGUAGCGAACAGGAUUAGAUACCCCAGUAGUCAAAGCAGAAAAUGAUGAAUGUCAUAGAUUAGAUAUAUAAGUUUAUUCUAUAAAUGAAAGUGUAAGCAUUCCACCUCAAGAGUAAUUUGGCAACAUUGGAACUGAAAUCAUUAGACCGUUUCUGAAACCAGUAGUGAAGUAUGUUGUUUAAUUUGAUGAUCCGCAAAAAACCUUACCACAAUUUGAAUAUUUAUAUCUAUUAUUGUUUUUUCUUCUUAUUUUUUAAUUAAAAACAAUAAUUAAGAAGAAAAAUAAGAAAAAGAGGCAAUAAGAUAUAUUUACAAGCGUUGCACGGCUGUCUUCAGUUAAUGUCGCGAGACUUUGGUUAGUUCCAUUAAAUUAACGUAAACCCUUACUUUAUUUUUAUAUAGAGUAGUUCCCCGCUAUAUUGGAUAUGAUAACAGGGACUAAGACAAGUCAUCAUGGCCUAAAUAUUGU